GCCCCCACCGCUGAAGGCAGGUCAAGAGGACCUGCAGGUGGCUACAGAGAGCUGCUGCUGACAGGAGAGUAGGAAGGAGUUCAAGGCCAGGGCUCCUGAAAAUAAAAACGGUCUCAGGGGAAGCAGUCACAAGAGCCUCUUCCCUUUAUAUAAAACCAAAAUGUAAAACCCAACACUUCUGUAUUUUGGUUUUAGCUGUCAUUGUAAGUAGCUGCUGGUGGUGCAGUCUGCAGAUUUUAUUCUCAGGAGACUCCGCGUUGCUCCCCAGUUGCCUGCCUUUGGUUUCUCCUUCUGUGGACAUACAGCCAGGAACUGGGCUUUUUCUAGCCUCCAGUCCCUAUUCUCCUUCAAGCAAGCACAGGAGACAGCAGGUAUGCAGAGGUAAGGGGAGAAUUUGCACAGCAAUAAGGUGUCCUUGCUGCACUCCCAUGUCUAUUUUGAAAUAAAAAUGUACCCUCAGAAAGCAAGCUUACCUUGUAACAGCACAAGGUUAAAUUAAAAUGAGGUAGCUUGCAACACUUAACUUUUCAUUAAUGAGUAACAGCUGAAGUUAGCUAACGUCUCCACUCCUCGUGGCAACAGCCCCACUCAGAAAGCCUGGCUUCAGGAACUGCCCCAGUGCAGGGGCAGGGCAUGGGCUGACCCAUGCUGAAAGGGCCGCACUGCCCUCCUCAGAACCCAAAACCCUGAGCGGGUAUCCGCAGCUCUCCCAGCCCGGUUCCUUCAGCCCUGGGUAGCCUGUCCCCAGGCCAACACAUGGUACUGCCUCCUCUGACACUUCGGCGCUCCGUAGGUGUUAGAAGCCACCUAUUAGCCAAGUCACUUCACGUAUAGGCAAGGCCCUCUGAAUUCAACCCAGCUUGCCUGUAUUUGCUGGAUGAUGAGCACACAAGUUCAGCUGUAUGUGUGUACUAAUGGUGUUAGUAUAGAUCUUAAUCUGUUUUUUUUAAUACGCUGCAACAUUUGUAGAGGUUUAACAUAUAUUUAGUGUCAAAACACCUUGGUUUUUAUUUUCAUAUCCUUUCUGAAUCAGGUUAAGCUGUAAACAAUUUCUUUUCAAUCAAAUACUGCCAACUAGAAUUACUUCCAUUCAUGCAUCACUGAAAACAAAAAGGGUAUUUUUCCUUAAGUACAGAUUUUUCUUUUUUAUACAGAAACCGAUAGCUAGAUUCGAUGCACCCUGAUUAGUUAUGUAAACAGAUAACCCAAAAAAACUCGUCAACAGAACUAAUAAGUUGGUUCCUUCAUAGAAUGGAAAUCAAAAAUCUCUCCUGACUUGAGGUUAACAUGGUCAGGAGUAUAGAGUGUGGCACAUAUAAAUCCAUCUAGGAGGUGUAAAAAUUGCACCGUAUCUGAAUUAACAAAGUUAUGCAUAAUGAAAUGCACAGUGUAAAUUCAUGCUAGAAAGCAUUUUUCAAUAUGAAGUGGCAGCCAACUGGCAACCGUAACAGUUAGGUUCUGCACCAUCAUUUAUGGCAUUAUAGAUAACUAUUACCUAUAGCAUACUUUAAAACCCUGAAGGAUUGUGUUACUUGAAACAUUCUCCAGGCAGUCAUUUGGUUUGAAACAUUGGGAGAAAGACUAAAGAGCUUGCCAUCUUAUACCGAUUAUGGUACCUUUAACUUUUAUGAAGUAGAUCAGAUAUGAUGUGUGUUUCACAGUAACGAAGUUGCUUUAAUGCCUUUUCUCCAACAGUAGGAUUCUGUUAGAUGUUUCUGCCCUCAGAUCACCGUUGUCCCAGGGGUCUUCCCUUUUCUUAAGUCUGGGUAACUACAUUGAGCACUUUUCCUGGUUUCUAACUAUUCAUCAGUCCUUUCAGUAUAUCUUCGGAGAGCUCCAGCAGAGGGAGUUCAGGGGAGGGGAUGUCCAGGGGGGGAAGGUUGGGUAUUGGAAUGUCCUUCGCCUUCCCAGCAGUUGUUGCAAACUUCUGCCAAGUUGCAGCUGAAGAAGUAGUUUCCGAGUGUUGCUGCAGACCCCACAACUCUGACUUCUCAACAAAGUCAGCAUCUACAUCCAACUCCUUGUCUACUGGAGAUUUUUGGAGUCUAGCUCUUUCUGCUUUUAACUGCUUAUUCUCCCUCCUUAAUCUUUCAUUUUCAGCUACGAGAAAUUCUAUGUGCCGUUUCAAAUCUGCAAUUUUGGUUGCCUGCUCUUCUAUUAUUGUUUUGUCAUCUUUUGGAGCUUUGCUCCCAAUACAAGCUUCUACUGGCUCCUUUUUUCUCUGAAGCAGAAAUAAUAGUGUAUCCGGGUCCCUGUCAAAGACACCCUGAAUAUCCUGUGGAUGUUUCUCUGUGGAAGGGCUGUAUUUCUGAGUAACAGGAACCAAUACGUUUUGAUCAUCAGAGUCUUCAGCAGAUGGCUUAUAAGAAGUCUGAAGAUGUGCCGCUAUUUCCUUGUCAGCAUUCUGCUGGGCUUUCAGCUUUUCCUCCCUCUUUGCCCUUUUCCACCUCUCCUGGAUGAGCAGUAACUGUUUCAUAUGACUAUCCCUUUGUAAUUCCAGUGAUAGCUGAGCCUGAGUAAGAACAAGAUUAAACAAUUUAAUUGGUGAUCCCUAAUCCCACCUGAAUGUUCACGCAAAUUUGUGCAAUGAAUAAGGGAAGAUGUACGGCUGUUCAGAAGACCAGAGACCUCCCAGUCAGGAUGAAUAAAACCAAAAUUGCAGACUGUAGAUGAGAUGCUCAGCUUUGUGUCUCAGCAAAACAGCCUAAGUUCCUCACAGCAAAAGCUAAAUAUGAAACUAGUUUUAUCACCUUCUUGAAGAUGCCUUGCAGACUAGAAACCAGUGUUGGAGAACCCUUGGAUGAGAGGAGGAUAGCAGCCAUCUCCAGAAAGUCCUAGAAGAACAACUUUCCCGUGAAGGGAAGGAACACAGCUAAGGACCAGACUUUUAACAUACAAGCAUUCUAAGACAAAAAUGUGUUGAUUGUGCAAGGACCAAGGAAUUUCUCCCAUUUUCAUGGUACAUUAUUCAUCACCAGCAGUUUGAAGAAAUCAGUGGUGCUGCUUAGUGAUGAAACUGCAACAGAAGUACUUGGAUGCUUAAUAGCCACCUAUCAUGGAUAAGCUUCUACAUCUUGUCUAGUCUGCUGGUUUAUUCUUAGCACUCUGUUACACUUAGCCACGCAGCAUCCAACCAUUGUUAGCAAAUCCAUUUUGAACUCAGAGUGGCCUGUAUCGCAUUAUAAACCUGGCAAUGGAAGAAUUGGUCCUAUAUCACAAAGUGAAAAAAAUGGCUCUCAAGUUCAUGUCUGGUCUGAUGUCAUGCUAGAAGAAGGUGUUUACAACAACAGUUCUGGAGCUGCUAUGCUGGUUCCCAUCAGAUUCAAGCAGGACUGCUUUGACUUUGGUCCUGCUGCUGUGAUGAUUACAGAAACAGCUGCUGCAUAACUGCAGUGGGUUUAUGUAUCUGAUUUCUCAUUCCUCUUCCAGUUGCAGUGCUGGAAAUAAAUGUAGGAUGUGGUGUAAGAAUAAUUAUAAUUUAUUAACAAGUUAUGGAAUUGAAGGGGGGAAGCAGUUUGACAACUACUUCCAGAUGUUCCUCCCAAUCCAGACGAGCAGGAAUUCCCAGUUGGCAAAUGGGCAGGUGUAACAACUUGACUCUUGUAAGAGGAAGCAGGUGUGAGUGAACCAUGACCAACCUAAAAAGCUUCCUCAUGUUGCUCUAACAUAUUUGGUUCUUAAAGGAUUUGUGCGUGCUUUACUGUAUCACUUGAACCACUCUGGAUCAACUACAGAAGCAGGUAAGCUAGGCAGCUUUCCUCCAACUUUCCAACUGUAGCUGAGAUGUUAACAAAUGAUAACUUCAUCUGUACAUUUGUACUGCUAUUCCAAAGACAUAUUUCUAUUUGAUUCUCCACCCAAACUAUUGACUAUGUAAUUGCUGAGCAACAGCAUAAAAAACCCCCCAAAAAUCAAAUGACCCUCUAAAACAGCAAUGCAGGUCUCCUCUUUGCCUAGAACUUUCUUUAAUAGCCCAAAAGUUAACACCCAACUGUUUUUUUUAAAAUAUGAAUUAGCCAAUGAUGGGACUACAGGCCAUAAGGAACAAAGUCAUAAGGCUCACCUGCCAGAUAUCUUACCACUCCCUCAAACUAAAAAAUAAAAAUGCUAGUUUUCUUUCUAGAGAUUGUGUGCCAUUACAGCUUAAAGGAUUACCAUUGUAUGAUCCUAGCUUAGGUUGGAGGAAAAAAAACAAGUGCUGCUUUUCCCAUGUGAUUCCAGUUGAUGGCUAGCUAUGAUAGAAGGAAGAGUGACAGGAAAAAAACCUGCUUAAUCCUACAAUAUUUUUAAAAGGUAGAUAUAGUCCUAGUCAUUUUCAAAUAGGGUAAGUCUACUACCCUCUCCUAAGAGCAGUAAUUUGCAACCGUUCUCCUGUAGCUGAAGUAGUGUUGUGUGUGUUUUGUUUUCCUUUGUUCCCCUAAUGGUGCUGGACAAAGCCUUGCGCAAGAUGUUAAGCUUACAGCCUUCUUUGUUUGUUGUAGGGGACUUUCUAGAAAAUGAUAUAGUAUAAUAUGAUUAUGAAGCACAGAUUACAGUGCCUUACUUGCUAAUAAAGUUACAAAUGAAGGCAGGAAAACCCAGCUGCUAAAAUGAUGGGGCCUGAGGAAAGUUAACUGCAAAGAAGUUCUGUCUAAUGUAACAGUUUGUAACUGUUUUAAGCAACUGUUUGCUGUUAGCAUCAUCUAUUUUAUGCUAUGGACUGUGGAUACUAGUUAUCUUUGCCAGAAAGGAUUAAUACCUAUGCUCUCCUACUGCGGAAAGCACAGAUUAAAGUAUUUUUUUGAGAGAUAAGCGAUCUAUCUGGGGAUUUGUUUCUUCUAAGGAUACAGGGCUGUUUUUCUAGGAAUGCAUAUGGAAGAAAGGAAGAUUCAGAAAGUGUACACUGCAUUGCUUCCAUACUGUGCAAAAGAGUGCUAACUAUCUUCCAUGUAGAUGUUUACAGCAGCAGGCCACAAAGGGUGGGACGAGGGGGCGCACCAUUAUUCCCCCCACCCCACAAACACUGUCAGGGCUACACACAUGAAGUCUCUUUCAAACCCAUUCUUACAAGGAAAUAGUAACCUAGAAAGGUUUGAAUGCGCAUGGCUGCAUACACAUUGAAAAAAUGGAAUGAAGAGAGAAUACAAGCGGAAAACUUGACCUGAGAGGUCCAAGACUAAACUAUGGUCAUCCUUUUUUUUUUUUAAUUAAAAAAAAAUGUAAUCAUGAUGGAUAAAACUCUGACUAUGGAAAAUGCUUGUAUUUACAAGCAGUUACACUAAAAGCAAAAAUAAUAGAGAUGUGCUAUAACUUAUGCUAAAUAAUGGGAAUGUAUUUGCUGCUAAGCCUAAAGAAAUGGUUAUGUGUAGCUUUAUCAACAGAAGCAAGCCCCCUUAAAAGUACUGCUGCUAUUCUGUAAAGAAAGACAGAGUUGACUGAAGGAGAAACAAAAAAUGGCAGAACCCAUUGUGACUGCUCAACCAAUACCACUAGCCACAUGUAAGCUCAAUUUUCUGUCUUUGAAAGCCUGUACUUAGCAAGGUUGACAGAACAAUGACUGAACUGUAAAUUACAGGUUAGUGUGACUAUAGAGUGAAACAAGUAUGUGAAACUCUCAUCAGAAUGUAUUCUCAAUAUUAACAGACUCCUCACUCACUUUGUAUUGAACCGUAAAGAUGUUGAAGUUCAACUUGCUUGUAAGCAAUGAUAUUAGAAUUUAAAUAGAUGGGCAGACAAGCAACAGUUGUUUAGCCAACCAACAUUAAUUCACUGAAUAACCCUAAUUGAUUACACAUGUGUUCCCAACUUAUUACAAAUUUAAGAUCAUUUGAGUUCUUCACCAUGCAAAUGCAAUUAAGAGAUCUGGAAUGAAGCCAACUCACAUUCACACUGCUCAAGUUAGGCAGAGUCUUCAAAACCCCAUCUAGGCAUAGCUGCAGCUCUUUCCC
Molecule: non-coding RNA, 5927 nt
Organism: Phalacrocorax carbo (great cormorant)
Lineage: Eukaryota; Metazoa; Chordata; Aves; Suliformes; Phalacrocoracidae
Source: RefSeq, a predicted model, not a curated record